GGUAUUGAAAUAAGAUUUUAAAUGAGUGCUAAGAGAAUGAUUAAACAAUUAAAAACUUUCUUUAAUUAAAUAAUUAAAUUUAAUUUUUUUGUGCAAAAGCAAAAAUAAAAUUUAGGGACAAGAAGACCCUAUGAAUUUUUAUUAUUAAUAUUUUGUAAUUAAAUUAUUAAUAAUUUAAUUGGGGUGAUAAAAAAAGAAUAAGUAUCUUUUUAAAUUAUAAAAUAAGUUCCGUUUUUAGCGAUUAAAUGAAAAAAAUACUCUAGGGAUAACAGCGUAAUAAUUUUGGAUAGUUCAUAUAGAUAAAAUAGUUUGCGACCUCGAUGUUGGAUUAGGAUUCUUUUUUGGUGAAGAA
RNAcentral lists this ribosomal RNA (352 nucleotides) under Ixodes scapularis (black-legged tick). Its description in RNAcentral is "partial 16S ribosomal RNA". The record is from RNAcentral. Lineage: Eukaryota; Metazoa; Arthropoda; Arachnida; Ixodida; Ixodidae.